RNAcentral lists this ribosomal RNA (301 nucleotides) under uncultured bacterium. RNAcentral describes it as "partial 16S ribosomal RNA". It matches the Rfam family "Bacterial small subunit ribosomal RNA", at positions 509 to 809 of the family's 1533-position model. The record is from RNAcentral.
CAGCCGCCGCGGUAAUACGAAGGGGGCUAGCGUUGUUCGGAAUUACUGGGCGUAAAGCGCACGUAGGCGGAUAUUUAAGUCAGGGGUGAAAUCCCGCAGCUCAACUGCGGAACUGCCUUUGAUACUGGGUAUCUUGAGUAUGGAAGAGGUUAGUGGAAUUGCGAGUGUAGAGGUGAAAUUCGUAGAUAUUCGCAGGAACACCAGUGGCGAAGGCGGCUAACUGGUCCAUAACUGACGCUGAGGUGCGAAAGCGUGGGGAGCAAACAGGAUUAGAUACCCCAGUAGUCCCUGUCUCUUAUAU